GAUCAUGGCUCAGGAUGAACGCUAGCUACAGGCUUAACACAUGCAAGUCGAGGGGAAACGACAUCGAAAGCUUGCUUUUGGUGGGCGUCGACCGGCGCACGGGUGAGUAACGCGUAUCCAACCUGCCCACCACUUGGGGAUAACCUUGCGAAAGUAAGACUAAUACCCAAUGAUAUCCCACGAAGGCAUCCGAAUGGGAUUAAAGAUUUAUCGGUGAUGGAUGGGGAUGCGUCUGAUUAGCUUGUUGGCGGGGUAACGGCCCACCAAGGCAACGAUCAGUAGGGGUUCUGAGAGGAAGGUCCCCCACAUUGGAACUGAGACACGGUCCAAACUCCUACGGGAGGCAGCAGUGAGGAAUAUUGGUCAAUGGGCGAGAGCCUGAACCAGCCAAGUAGCGUGCAGGAUGACGGCCCUAUGGGUUGUAAACUGCUUUUAUAAGGGAAUAAAGUGGGUCUCGUGAGACUUUUUGCAUGUACCUUAUGAAUAAGGACCGGCUAAUUCCGUG
Molecule: ribosomal RNA, 505 nt
Filed under: uncultured bacterium
Lineage: Bacteria
Description: bacterial SSU rRNA
Rfam family: Bacterial small subunit ribosomal RNA
Source: RNAcentral